RNAcentral lists this ribosomal RNA (253 nucleotides) under uncultured bacterium. Its description in RNAcentral is "partial 16S ribosomal RNA". It matches the Rfam family "Bacterial small subunit ribosomal RNA", at positions 524 to 776 of the family's 1533-position model. The record is from RNAcentral.
UACGUAGGGUGCUAGCGUUAAUCGGAAUUAUUGGGCGUACAGGGCGCGUAGGCGGAUUGGUAAGUUGGAUGUGAAAUCCCAGAGCUCAACUUUGGCACUGCAUCCAAAACUGCUGAUCUAGAGGGUAGACGGGGAAAAUGGAAUUCCACAAGUAGCGGUGAAAUGCGUAGAUAUGUGGAAGAACACCUGUGGCGAAAGCGGUUUUCCAGUUUACACCUGACGCUGAGGCGCGAAAGCAAGGGGAUCAAACAGG